CGUGUUAAAUUUUAUCUUUAUAUCUCCAAUUCCAGCAAUUGUAUAGGCAAAGUUAUCACACAGAACUACUUGCCCAUCAUUAGAUUCUUGCAAGUUUUCAAACCAAUUCUUUUCAGACGUCACAUGAAAAGACGCACCAGAAUCUAAUAUCCAUUCAUGCAUGUGAGAAUUAGUAGUUAGAUUCAAUUCAGUAGUGUAUGCGACUGAACUAGUGAUCAC
RNAcentral lists this long non-coding RNA (219 nucleotides) under Olea europaea (common olive). RNAcentral describes it as "long non-coding RNA (OEUR_LNC002137)". Lineage: Eukaryota; Viridiplantae; Streptophyta; Magnoliopsida; Lamiales; Oleaceae. The record is from RNAcentral.